GCGAACAGAUGAGAAGCUUGCUUCUCUGAUGUUAGCGGCGGACGGGUGAGUAACACGUGGGUAACCUACCUAUAAGACUGGGAUAACUCCGGGAAACCGGGGCUAAUACCGGAUAAUAUUUUGAACCGCAUGGUUCAAUAGUGAAAGACGGUUUCGGCUGUCACUUAUAGAUGGACCCGCGCCGUAUUAGCUAGUUGGUAAGGUAAUGGCUUACCAAGGCGACGAUACGUAGCCGACCUGAGAGGGUGAUCGGCCACACUGGAACUGAGACACGGUCCAGACUCCUACGGGAGGCAGCAGUAGGGAAUCUUCCGCAAUGGGCGAAAGCCUGACGGAGCAACGCCGCGUGAGUGAUGAAGGUCUUCGGAUCGUAAAACUCUGUUGUUAGGGAAGAACAAAUUUGUUAGUAACUGAACAAGUCUUGACGGUACCUAACCAGAAAGCCACGGCUAACUACGUGCCAGCAGCCGCGGUAAUACGUAGGUGGCAAGCGUUAUCCGGAAUUAUUGGGCGUAAAGCGCGCGUAGGCGGUUUCUUAAGUCUGAUGUGAAAGCCCACGGCUCAACCGUGGAGGGUCAUUGGAAACUGGGAAACUUGAGUGCAGAAGAGGAGAGUGGAAUUCCAUGUGUAGCGGUGAAAUGCGCAGAGAUAUGGAGGAACACCAGUGGCGAAGGCGGCUCUCUGGUCUGUAACUGACGCUGAUGUGCGAAAGCGUGGGGAUCAAACAGGAUUAGAUACCCU
RNAcentral lists this ribosomal RNA (741 nucleotides) under uncultured Staphylococcus sp. Its description in RNAcentral is "bacterial SSU rRNA". It matches the Rfam family "Bacterial small subunit ribosomal RNA", at positions 66 to 788 of the family's 1533-position model. The record is from RNAcentral. Lineage: Bacteria; Bacillati; Bacillota; Bacilli; Caryophanales; Staphylococcaceae.